Molecule: non-coding RNA, 26 nt
Filed under: Homo sapiens (human)
Lineage: Eukaryota; Metazoa; Chordata; Mammalia; Primates; Hominidae
Source: RNAcentral
UGUGAUUCCGAGCACUGGUUUUCUCA